GAUGAACGCUGGCGGCGUGCCUAAUACAUGCAAGUCGAGCGAACGGACGAGAAGCUUGCUUCUCUGAUGUUAGCGGCGGACGGGUGAGUAACACGUGGAUAACCUACCUAUAAGACUGGGGUAACUUCGGGAAACCGGAGCUAAUACCGGAUAAUAUUUUGAACCGCAUGGAUCAAAAGUGAAAGACGGUCUUGCUGUCACUUAUAGAUGGAUCCGCGCUGCAUUAGCUAGUUGGUAAGGUAACGGCUCACCAAGGCAACGAUGCAUAGCCGACCUGAGAGGGUGAUCGGCCACACUGGAACUGAGACACGGUCCAGACUCCUACGGGAGGCAGCAGUAGGGAAUCUUCCGCAAUGGGCGAAAGCCUGACGGAGCAACGCCGCGUGAGUGAUGAAGGUCUUCGGAUCGUAAAACUCUGUUAUUAGGGAAGAACAUAUGUGUAAGUAACUGUGCACAUCUUGACGGUACCUAAUCAGAAAGCCACGGCUAACUACGUG
RNAcentral lists this ribosomal RNA (497 nucleotides) under uncultured bacterium. RNAcentral's name for it is "partial 16S ribosomal RNA". It matches the Rfam family "Bacterial small subunit ribosomal RNA", at positions 28 to 507 of the family's 1533-position model. The record is from RNAcentral.